Molecule: ribosomal RNA, 460 nt
Filed under: uncultured bacterium
Lineage: Bacteria
Description: partial 16S ribosomal RNA
Rfam family: Bacterial small subunit ribosomal RNA
Source: RNAcentral
CCUACGGGCGGCAGCAGUGAGGAAUAUUGGUCAAUGGGCGGGAGCCUGAACCAGCCAAGUCGCGUGAGGGAAGACGGUCCUAUGGAUUGUAAACCUCUUUAGGCGGGGAGCAAUGCCGGGCACGCGUGCCCGGAGGGAGAGUACCCGCAGAAUAAGCAUCGGCUAACUCCGUCCCAGCAGCCGCGGUAAUUCGGAGGAUGCGAGCGUUAUCCGGAUUUAUUGGGUUAAAGGGGUGCGUAGGCGGAUCGUUAAGUCAGUGGUAAAAUUGAGGGGCUCAACCCCUUCCCGCCAUUGAAACUGGCGCUCUUGAGUGGAAGAGAAGUAUGCGGAAUGCGUGGUGUAGCGGUGAAAUGCAUAGAUAUCACGCAGAACCCCGAUGGCGAAGGCAGCAUGCCGGCUUCCGACUGACGCUGAAGCACGAAAGCGUGGGGAUCGAACAGGAUUAGAUACCCCUGUAGUC